AGCAUCUUUGUUUAAAGCAUCUUGGUCCUUAGUAUCAUAGAAGACUUCGCCUGUCUAAUAAGUUGUUAACAAUCAAAUUGUUGGCAGUGGUCUUAAUAGAAAUGAAAUGUCUGCCUAAAGUAAACUUUAGCUGCUUCUGCCUUUCUAGUUUCAGGAAACAGAAUUCAUUAAACCAGUCAAGCUCUAAAUUAUUCUUGCAAGCUCAGAUGCUUAGGCCUCCAGUACAAUGUGUACUAUGAGUCCAGGUUGUUUCACGAGCAAAAGGAGCAGAGGCCUCUGCUGCAGGAAGGUUUGCCUAAUCCCCGGACCCCUCUGGGCUUGGGUGCUAUGAGGAACCUGCUGCUCUGUUACUCAUGGUUGAUCCUUCCUCCUUUUAUAGCAAUUGAAACAGAUCGAGAUGACUAGGAUGGCCCAGAGUCAGUCUGGACUCCACAGGUCACAUGGCUGAGGAGAUUGUCUACCACUUCUCUGGCAGCCAGCUCCAUGAAGGGAUAGAAUCAGUCCCUCCCUGUGCUGAUGUAGUGGGCUGUGUUCAGGUGAACAUUUCACCAAGGCAAACUGGCAACUGUACUCCAACUCUCAAGGAGCCCAAACUCGGCUGACUCUGUUCUUCCACCUCAAAUCCAUCAGAGGC
RNAcentral lists this long non-coding RNA (634 nucleotides) under Fukomys damarensis (Damara mole-rat). Its description in RNAcentral is "lncRNA (ENSFDAG00000022606.1)". The record is from RNAcentral. Lineage: Eukaryota; Metazoa; Chordata; Mammalia; Rodentia; Bathyergidae.